RNAcentral lists this ribosomal RNA (2175 nucleotides) under Bacillus subtilis. RNAcentral describes it as "bacterial LSU rRNA". It matches the Rfam family "Bacterial large subunit ribosomal RNA", at positions 1 to 2171 of the family's 2925-position model. RNAcentral also lists the same sequence under 1 other name. The record is from RNAcentral. Lineage: Bacteria; Bacillati; Bacillota; Bacilli; Caryophanales; Bacillaceae.
CGGUUAAGUUAGAAAGGGCGCACGGUGGAUGCCUUGGCACUAGGAGCCGAUGAAGGACGGGACGAACACCGAUAUGCUUCGGGGAGCUGUAAGCAAGCUUUGAUCCGGAGAUUUCCGAAUGGGGAAACCCACCACUCGUAAUGGAGUGGUAUCCAUAUCUGAAUUCAUAGGAUAUGAGAAGGCAGACCCGGGGAACUGAAACAUCUAAGUACCCGGAGGAAGAGAAAGCAAAUGCGAUUCCCUGAGUAGCGGCGAGCGAAACGGGAUUAGCCCAAACCAAGAGGCUUGCCUCUUGGGGUUGUAGGACACUCUGUACGGAGUUACAAAAGAACGAGGUAGAUGAAGAGGUCUGGAAAGGCCCGCCAUAGGAGGUAACAGCCCUGUAGUCAAAACUUCGUUCUCUCCUGAGUGGAUCCUGAGUACGGCGGAACACGUGAAAUUCCGUCGGAAUCCGGGAGGACCAUCUCCCAAGGCUAAAUACUCCCUAGUGACCGAUAGUGAACCAGUACCGUGAGGGAAAGGUGAAAAGCACCCCGGAAGGGGAGUGAAAGAGAUCCUGAAACCGUGUGCCUACAAGUAGUCAGAGCCCGUUAACGGGUGAUGGCGUGCCUUUUGUAGAAUGAACCGGCGAGUUACGAUCCCGUGCAAGGUUAAGCAGAAGAUGCGGAGCCGCAGCGAAAGCGAGUCUGAAUAGGGCGCAUGAGUACGUGGUCGUAGACCCGAAACCAGGUGAUCUACCCAUGUCCAGGGUGAAGUUCAGGUAACACUGAAUGGAGGCCCGAACCCACGCACGUUGAAAAGUGCGGGGAUGAGGUGUGGGUAGGGGUGAAAUGCCAAUCGAACCUGGAGAUAGCUGGUUCUCUCCGAAAUAGCUUUAGGGCUAGCCUCAAGGUAAGAGUCUUGGAGGUAGAGCACUGAUUGGACUAGGGGCCCCUACCGGGUUACCGAAUUCAGUCAAACUCCGAAUGCCAAUGACUUAUCCUUGGGAGUCAGACUGCGAGUGAUAAGAUCCGUAGUCGAAAGGGAAACAGCCCAGACCGCCAGCUAAGGUCCCAAAGUAUACGUUAAGUGGAAAAGGAUGUGGAGUUGCUUAGACAACCAGGAUGUUGGCUUAGAAGCAGCCACCAUUUAAAGAGUGCGUAAUAGCUCACUGGUCGAGUGACUCUGCGCCGAAAAUGUACCGGGGCUAAACGUAUCACCGAAGCUGCGGACUGUUCUUCGAACAGUGGUAGGAGAGCGUUCUAAGGGCUGUGAAGCCAGACCGGAAGGACUGGUGGAGCGCUUAGAAGUGAGAAUGCCGGUAUGAGUAGCGAAAGAGGGGUGAGAAUCCCCUCCACCGAAUGCCUAAGGUUUCCUGAGGAAGGCUCGUCCGCUCAGGGUUAGUCGGGACCUAAGCCGAGGCCGAAAGGCGUAGGCGAUGGACAACAGGUUGAUAUUCCUGUACCACCUCCUCACCAUUUGAGCAAUGGGGGGACGCAGGAGGAUAGGGUAAGCGCGGUAUUGGAUAUCCGCGUCCAAGCAGUUAGGCUGGGAAAUAGGCAAAUCCGUUUCCCAUAAGGCUGAGCUGUGAUGGCGAGCGAAAUAUAGUAGCGAAGUUCCUGAUUCCACACUGCCAAGAAAAGCCUCUAGCGAGGUGAGAGGUGCCCGUACCGCAAACCGACACAGGUAGGCGAGGAGAGAAUCCUAAGGUGAUCGAGAGAACUCUCGUUAAGGAACUCGGCAAAAUGACCCCGUAACUUCGGGAGAAGGGGUGCUCUGUUAGGGUGCAAGCCCGAGAGAGCCGCAGUGAAUAGGCCCAGGCGACUGUUUAGCAAAAACACAGGUCUCUGCGAAGCCGUAAGGCGAAGUAUAGGGGCUGACGCCUGCCCGGUGCUGGAAGGUUAAGAGGAGCGCUUAGCGUAAGCGAAGGUGCGAAUUGAAGCCCCAGUAAACGGCGGCCGUAACUAUAACGGUCCUAAGGUAGCGAAAUUCCUUGUCGGGUAAGUUCCGACCCGCACGAAAGGCGCAACGAUCUGGGCACUGUCUCAACGAGAGACUCGGUGAAAUUAUAGUACCUGUGAAGAUGCAGGUUACCCGCGACAGGACGGAAAGACCCCGUGGAGCUUUACUGCAGCCUGAUAUUGAAUGUUGGUACAGCUUGUACAGGAUAGGUAGGAGCCUUGGAAACCGGAGCGC